UGGUGGAGUGAUUUGUCUGGUUUAUUCCGUUAACGAACGAGACCUCGACCUGCUAAAUAGUAUGGGGUACUCCGGUACCUACAUGCUUCUUAGAGGGACUGACGGUGGUGAGCCGUAGGAAGUUCGAGGCAAUAACA
Molecule: ribosomal RNA, 137 nt
Filed under: uncultured eukaryote
Lineage: Eukaryota
Description: partial 18S ribosomal RNA
Rfam family: Eukaryotic small subunit ribosomal RNA
Source: RNAcentral